CGCAAAAGAGAGAGAGAGAGAGUGGCUAGAAAGAUGUCCCCAGGGGAGAGGAGGGACCCUAGAGUACUCGUGUUGUGGGAAGUCAACCUUGGAGUGCAGGUGGUUCAUCGCGGUCACAGAAGGGAGGGCAGAGGAUCGGGUGCAACGUGCUGGGUGGGUGCUGUGUGGCGGAGCUGGGAGACAGGCUCUCGGGUUGCGGCAGCUCCCCCGAGGAACAGGCAGCUCUUCAUCUGGGUGCAGGACGGCGGAGAAGGUGAAGGAGGUGUGAGAAGAUGGGAAGGAAUUGCUUGGGGAAAACAGAGGGACCAAAGGAGCCUCAGGUGACUGCCAGGCAGCACUGAAGACCCCUCGAGGCCAGCCUUCCUGUACAUGAAGUGAGACCCGGCCACAUGGUGGUGUUUUCCUCCAGCCACGUGCCACUGCCGGGGGACAAGCACAGAGCGCAGGCAUCAACCGAGGCCCCAGAGAGCUUCCCCGCCCCUUCCACCAUGUGAGGACACAGAGAAGCCACCUGUGAAUCUGGAAGCCGAUACUUGGACCUCCCAGCCUCCAGAUCUGCAAGAAAUAAGUGUCUGCACUUUGUAGGCCACCUUGUCUGGGACCUUACAAUCCGAAGAGUCAACCCCGAUGUAAACUGUGGGCGUGAGUUAAUGGCACAGAGGUGCUGGCUCAUCAAGUGGAUCAAGUGGCCACACUCAGGCAAGAUGUCAACAGUAAGAGAAAUCGCGUAUUGGGGAGAGAAGAUUUAAGGGAACGCUCUGCUAGUGUCUGUGCCAUUUUUCUGUAUAUCUAAAACUUCUUUAAAAGAUAAAAGUCAAUUAAAGAUUGGAAACAAAACCUGUUGUUGGGCUGGGGUGGUGGCUCAGUCGUGAAGCACUUGCC
Molecule: long non-coding RNA, 882 nt
Organism: Marmota flaviventris (yellow-bellied marmot)
Lineage: Eukaryota; Metazoa; Chordata; Mammalia; Rodentia; Sciuridae
Source: RefSeq, a predicted model, not a curated record